Molecule: ribosomal RNA, 628 nt
Filed under: Globisporangium sylvaticum
Lineage: Eukaryota; Oomycota; Peronosporomycetes; Pythiales; Pythiaceae
Description: eukaryotic LSU rRNA
Rfam family: 5.8S ribosomal RNA (bases 47-201)
Source: RNAcentral
CUGAUUAUACUGUGAGAACGAAAGUUCUUGCUUUUAACUAGAUAACAACUUUCAGCAGUGGAUGUCUAGGCUCGCACAUCGAUGAAGAACGCUGCGAACUGCGAUACGUAAUGCGAAUUGCAGAAUUCAGUGAGUCAUCGAAAUUUUGAACGCAUAUUGCACUUCCGGGUUAUGCCUGGAAGUAUGUCUGUAUCAGUGUCCGUAAAUCAAACUUGCCUUUCUUCCUUCCGUGUAGUCGGUGGAGGAGAGUUGCAGAUGUGAAGUGUCUCGCUGUGGUUGGUAUAUUUGUUUAUGCACAACUUGCGAGUCCUUUUAAAUGGACACGACUUUCUCUUUUUUGUAUCUGCGCGGUGCUGUGCGUGAACGCGGUGGUUUUCGGAUCGCUCGCGGCUGUCGGCGACUUCGGUGAAUGCAUUAUGGAGUGGACCUCGAUUCGCGGUAUGUUGGGCUUCGGCUGGACAAUGUUGCUUAUUGGGUGUCUGUUCCGCGUUCGCCUUGAGGUGUACUGGUGGCUGUGGGAUUGAACUGGUUACUGUUGUUAGUAGUGUGUGGCUCGUUGUCGUGGGUGCAUCUGUGUUUUUGUACUUGUGCAAUUGGCAGAAGAGGAGUCUCAAUUUGGGAAAUUAGU